RNAcentral lists this transfer RNA (71 nucleotides) under Puccinia coronata f. sp. avenae. It matches the Rfam family "tRNA". From Rfam's summary of the family: Transfer RNA (tRNA) molecules are approximately 80 nucleotides in length. Their secondary structure includes four short double-helical elements and three loops (D, anti-codon, and T loops). Lineage: Eukaryota; Fungi; Basidiomycota; Pucciniomycetes; Pucciniales; Pucciniaceae. The record is from Rfam by way of RNAcentral.
GACGGCUUAGCUCAGUGGUAGAGCAGGUUUGUACUAUGACUGUGACAUGGGUUCAACUCUCAUAGUUGUCC